RNAcentral lists this ribosomal RNA (198 nucleotides) under uncultured Pseudomonas sp. RNAcentral describes it as "partial 16S ribosomal RNA". It matches the Rfam family "Bacterial small subunit ribosomal RNA", at positions 1186 to 1382 of the family's 1533-position model. Lineage: Bacteria; Pseudomonadati; Pseudomonadota; Gammaproteobacteria; Pseudomonadales; Pseudomonadaceae. The record is from RNAcentral.
CAAGUCAUCAUGGCCCUUACGGGCCUGGGCUACACACGUGCUACAAUGGUCGGUACAAAGGGUUGCCAAGCCGCGAGGUGGAGCUAAUCCCAUAAAACCGAUCGUAGUCCGGAUCGCAGUCUGCAACUCGACUGCGUGAAGUCGGAAUCGCUAGUAAUCGUGAAUCAGAAUGUCACGGUGAAUACGUUCCCGGGCCUU